RNAcentral lists this transfer RNA (68 nucleotides) under Paracolopha morrisoni. Its description in RNAcentral is "tRNA-Trp". The record is from RNAcentral. Lineage: Eukaryota; Metazoa; Arthropoda; Insecta; Hemiptera; Aphididae.
AAGAUUUUAAGUUAUAUAAAUUAAACUAUUAAUCUUCAAAAUUAAAAAAAAAUAAAAUUUAAAUCUUA